ACGGAAGGCAGCAGUGGGGAAUAUUGCACAAUGGGGGAAACCCUGAUGCAGCAACGCCGCGUGAAGGAUGAAGUCCCUUGGGUCGUAAACUUCUGUUCUAAGGGAAGAUCUUGACGGUACCUUAGGAGCAAGUCCCGGCUAACUACGUGCCUGCAGCCGCGGUAAUUCGUAGGGGGCAAGCGUUAUCCGGAAUUAUUGGGCGUAAAGAGUGCGUAGGUGGUUUCCUAAGCAUGGGGUUUAAGGCAAUGGCUUAACCAUAGUUCGCCCCAUGAACUGGGUUACUGGAGUGCUGGAGAGGAAAGCGGAAUUCCUAGUGUAGCGGUGAAAUGCGUAGAUAUUAGGAGGAACACCAGUGGCGAAGGCGGCUUUCUGGACAGUUACUGACACUGAGGCACGAAAGUGUGGUGCGCAAACAGGAUUAGAUACCCUGGUA
This 433-nucleotide ribosomal RNA is filed under the name uncultured Anaerovorax sp. Its description in RNAcentral is "partial 16S ribosomal RNA". It matches the Rfam family "Bacterial small subunit ribosomal RNA", at positions 341 to 792 of the family's 1533-position model. The record is from RNAcentral. Lineage: Bacteria; Bacillati; Bacillota; Clostridia; Peptostreptococcales; Anaerovoracaceae.